RNAcentral lists this ribosomal RNA (468 nucleotides) under uncultured bacterium. RNAcentral describes it as "partial 16S ribosomal RNA". It matches the Rfam family "Bacterial small subunit ribosomal RNA", at positions 28 to 507 of the family's 1533-position model. The record is from RNAcentral.
GACGAACGCUGGCGGCGUGCUUAACACAUGCAAGUCGAACGGAAAGGCCCUGCUUUUGUGGGUUGCUCGAUUGGCGAACGGGUGAGUAACACGUGAGUAACCUGCCCUUGACUGUGGGAUAACUUCAGGAAACUGGGGCUAAUACCGGAUAGGAUCUCCUGCUGCAUGGUGGGGGUUGGAAAGUUUCGGCGGUUGGGGAUGGACUCGCGGCUUAUCAGCUUGUUGGUGGGGUAGUGGCUUACCAAGGCUUUGACGGGUAGCCGGCCUGAGAGGGUGACCGGCCACGUUGGGACUGAGAUACGGCCCAGACUCCUACGGGAGGCAGCAGUGGGGAAUAUUGCACAAUGGGCGGAAGCCUGAUGCAGCAACGCCGCGUGCGGGAUGACGGCCUUCGGGUUGUAAACCGCUUUCGACUGUGACGAAGAGUGAGUGACGGUAAUGGGUAAAGAAGCACCGGCUAACUACGUG